AUGCUUAACACAUGCAAGUCGAACGGAAACGAUGGAAGCUUGCUUCCAGGCGUCGAGUGGCGGACGGGUGAGUAAUGCUUGGGAAUCUGCCUAAUAGUGGGGGAAAACUCGGGGAAACUCGGGCUAAUACCGCAUAAUCUCUUCGGAGGAAAGAGGGCCUCUACAUGUAAGCUCUCGCUAAUAGAUGAGCCCAAGUCAGAUUAGCUUGUUGGUGAGGUAAAAGCUCACCAAGGCUACGAUCUGUAGCUGGUCUGAGAGGACGAUCAGCCACACUGGGACUGAGACACGGCCCAGACUCCUACGGGAGGCAGCAGUGGGGAAUAUUGCACAAUGGGCGCAAGCCUGAUGCAGCAAUACCGCGUGUGUGAAGAAGGCCUUAGGGUUGUAAAGCACUUUCAAUAGAGAAGAAAAGCUUAGAGUUAAUAACUCUAAGCAUUGACGUAACCUAUAGAAGAAGCACCGGCUAAAUCCGUGCCAGCAGCCGCGGUAAUACGGAUGGUGCGAGCGUUAAUCGGAAUUACUGGGCGUAAAGCGCGCGUAGGCUGUUUUAUAAGUCGGAUGUGAAAUCCCCGGGCUCAACCUGGGAACUGCAUCCGAAACUAUUUAACUAGAGUAUGGGAGAGGUAAGUAGAAUUUCCGGUGUAGCGGUGAAAUGCGUAGAUAUCGGAAGGAACACCAGUGG
Molecule: ribosomal RNA, 682 nt
Filed under: uncultured bacterium
Lineage: Bacteria
Description: bacterial SSU rRNA
Rfam family: Bacterial small subunit ribosomal RNA
Source: RNAcentral